Molecule: long non-coding RNA, 1112 nt
Organism: Pezoporus occidentalis (night parrot)
Lineage: Eukaryota; Metazoa; Chordata; Aves; Psittaciformes; Psittacidae
Exons: 2
Source: RefSeq, a predicted model, not a curated record
CAAGUCCAAAAUCAGGUAGAGGACACCUGUGUUAGUCUACGCUUCUACACACUCAGUAAGAUUGUACCAUUGCUUCCUUUUUUGAUGAAGCUAAUUGACAGAACUGUAUCAGGAAGAUGCUACAGUAUCAGUUCGUCUGUUUUACCUCACCUGUGGUAUAAACAGGCAACCUCCACUAAGACAGGGCAGAAGAGGCCUUCAUGUCCAGCUGGAGUUUGUGAUGUAAUUCUCCUUGCUUCCCACAAAACCUAGUAAAAUUCACUUAACUGUCUGCAAAUAUAACAUCCAUUUUCCACUCUUGGAUCUCUUAGUCUUGUUUUCAGUUGCAAACUGGAUGCCUGUAGCCUGUGUUUCAGCAUGUGGAUAUGCACACUCAUAAUGAAAAACUGACUAUGAAAUCCACCUAUCUUCAGCCUGAAACAAUGUUCUUCAAAGCACCAAAAUGUCACACAAAUUGAUAAUAAAUGAUCUGGAUUUACCCCCAGACAUCUACCAUAUAGCAACAAGGCUGGAGUUCCUUGUGGAUUCUCAGGACAAAUAUUGUAUAACCAUCAAUGAUCCCUGUGCUAACACUUCCAACUGAGAUACCAAUUCUGGUGGCUUAUUUGCUAUGAAGAGCAAAAACUGAACUAAACCCAAUCAGCUGCUUCAUGUAAGCAACUGAAUUGGAUGGUACUGAGCUCCAAAAUAACAGAAUAACUCUGGAGCGUGCAUGGAGAGCUUGCAGUUUGUCAGCUGAAGUACAAGCAGCUUUAAGUCAAGACAGGAGUUUGACAAACUGAAGAAGCUGCAUCAUUUGCUCUUUAGCACAGCUUCACAAGCUGAAGUUUAAUCUCAGAGGAAUAGAAGUCAUCAGCCGUGUAAGAAUAUUUCUCAAACAAGUCAGGACUUUGAUCUAUCAUGUAAAUACUGCAGAGCUUUACUAGUUCUCAUUUUGUUAAUCUGCAAACUGGAUGAGUCUUGCAGAAUAUAGCUGGUCUUGCCUUGCUUCUCAGGAAUGACUAAUAGCAGGGAGCUGGAAUAAGGCCUUGUAUUACUGAGUACUUGUUAUAUUUGGAAAUUAAACUUCAGUAUGCGUACUGUCAAACACAAACAAACAAACGUAUACUACA